Molecule: unclassified non-coding RNA, 899 nt
Filed under: Hevea brasiliensis (rubber tree)
Lineage: Eukaryota; Viridiplantae; Streptophyta; Magnoliopsida; Malpighiales; Euphorbiaceae
Source: RNAcentral
UGCAACAACAUCCCAAAAAAAACCAAUAGGCAAGUCAUAUGGUAGAUCUCAUAUAACAAUGACUUGCCUUUUGAUAUUAACCCAGUUGCUCUAAGAAUUAUAUGCUUUUAUCUAUACUUUAUAGCCAAGCCCUACUAUUACUACUCAUCCAACAAUGCAUCAAACAGUAAUUUUCCACCCCCACCCAAAAAAGGAAAAAAAAACACUAUCCCUCGCAUGCAAAGUCUCAAGCAUGCACCUUAAAAAUCAAAAAACAUUGCGAUAUUCAUAAAAGGUCUGCAUGCCUCAAAUUGCCUACUCUACUGUGAUAUUAAAUAAUCUGUAUCAACAUGGUUGAACCAGAUGUUGUGCCCUGAAUCCAGUUACAACCCUGUCAUCAAUAUUAAACCUAAAAAAGAUAGAUGUGCCAAAUCAUCAAUUUUGCCGCAUAGCUCUGGACUUGCCAGCUGAAUCAUAAUUGAGCAUACAGAAAUCCCAUCAAUCAAAAGUAGCCCAAAGCCCCAAACCACUGAGAUCAGAUCCUGCAUUUUUCAAGCCUCUUUCCUAGUUAUCCUGAAGCAAUUAAUGCCCAAGGCUGUUGUGAUUUCAUGAAUGACUGACGUGGCAAAGUGUAAAUAGAGUCCCACUGUGAAUACACAAUAGCCAAGAAGAACCCAGAAUUCAUCAACCAAAGGAACCCCAUCAUUCAGUUUGGCAGUGAGUGCAUUUGCAAUGGCCAAUGGUAGAUAUAAUAAAGACAUGCACAUGUUAGUUUUCAAUCCCUUUGGUUCAUCACACAAGUGGGCCAGAAUCAUCCUUCCCACAAGAAACCCAAAUGCAAGUCCAGUCCCCAGUAUAACUAAAUGAGGAUAAUUUCCCAUUAUAUCAGAUAGAGACAGAUAAUCCCACACCAAGACGCC